AGGGUUCGAUUCUGGCUCAGGAUGAACGCUAGCGGCAGGCUUAACACAUGCAAGUCGAGGGGCAGCGGGAUGUAGCAAUACAUUGCCGGCGACCGGCGGAUGGGUGCGUAACGCGUAUGCAACCUACCUUAUACAGGGGAAUAACCUUUCGAAAGGGAGACUAACACCCCAUAGUAUUGAUUUAAGGCAUCUUAGAUUAAUUAAAUAUUUAUAGGUAUAAGAUGGGCAUGCGUAUGAUUAGCUAGUUGGUAAGGUAACGGCUUACCAAGGCGACGAUCAUUAGGGGUUCUGAGAGGAAGGUCCCCCACACUGGUACUGAGACACGGACCAGACUCCUACGGGAGGCAGCAGUGAGGAAUAUUGGUCAAUGGGCGCAAGCCUGAACCAGCCAUGCCGCGUGCAGGAAAGACGGCCUUAUGGGUUGUAAACUGCUUUUACAUAAGACUAACCGUAUAUUUGCGAAUAUACCUGAAUGUAUUAUGAGAAUAAGGAUCGGCUAACUCCGUGCCAGCAGCCGC
This 518-nucleotide ribosomal RNA is filed under the name uncultured bacterium. RNAcentral's name for it is "bacterial SSU rRNA". It matches the Rfam family "Bacterial small subunit ribosomal RNA", at positions 8 to 518 of the family's 1533-position model. The record is from RNAcentral.